This 276-nucleotide ribosomal RNA is filed under the name Staphylococcus aureus. Its description in RNAcentral is "partial 16S ribosomal RNA". It matches the Rfam family "Bacterial small subunit ribosomal RNA", at positions 1259 to 1533 of the family's 1533-position model. Lineage: Bacteria; Bacillati; Bacillota; Bacilli; Caryophanales; Staphylococcaceae. The record is from RNAcentral.
GAGGUCAAGCAAAUCCCAUAAAGUUGUUCUCAGUUCGGAUUGUAGUCUGCAACUCGACUACAUGAAGCUGGAAUCGCUAGUAAUCGUAGAUCAGCAUGCUACGGUGAAUACGUUCCCGGGUCUUGUACACACCGCCCGUCACACCACGAGAGUUUGUAACACUCGAAGCCGGUGGAGUAACCUUUUAGGAGCUAGCCGUCGAAGGUGGGACAAAUGAUUGGGGUGAAGUCGUAACAAGGUAGCCGUAUCGGAAGGUGCGGCUGGAUCACCUCCUUU